GGAGUCCUGUUACAUCAAAUUCAAACACAAUCAUUUAGUUUGCUCGCAUGUCCAUCUAUGUUGUGAAAUUAAUUGGACUAAAUGCCCCACAUUGAAAAUAUACGAAAUGGAAUGGCAAAAUAUAAAUAGUUAGGGUUACAACAUUGAAAUGGCUAGUCAUUUUAACAUAUAAUGCAACUUAUGUAAAUCUAGACUAAAAUGGAAAGUGUAAUUUGCCCUCCUUUGGUACCACCAUUUAUCUAAUUGCAACGUCCUAUAUCCUCAAAGAAUCCAACUGUAAAAUCUUUCAUAACUCUCAUUCAUUGCUACUAACAUUAUUC
Molecule: unclassified non-coding RNA, 320 nt
Filed under: Hevea brasiliensis (rubber tree)
Lineage: Eukaryota; Viridiplantae; Streptophyta; Magnoliopsida; Malpighiales; Euphorbiaceae
Source: RNAcentral